CCUGCUGAAUGGCGUACGAGAUGGGAGCUGUCUCAACCAGAGAUUCGGUGAAAUUGUAGUGGAGGUGAAAAUUCCUCCUACCCGCGGCAAGACGGAAAGACCCCGUGGACCUUUACUACAACUUAGCACUGCUAACGGGAAUAUCAUGCGCAGGAUAGGUGGGAGGCUUUGAAGUAAGGGCUUUGGCUCUUAUGGAGCCAUCCUUGAGAUACCACCCUUGAUGUUUC
RNAcentral lists this ribosomal RNA (227 nucleotides) under Helicobacter pylori. RNAcentral describes it as "partial 23S ribosomal RNA". It matches the Rfam family "Bacterial large subunit ribosomal RNA", at positions 1987 to 2215 of the family's 2925-position model. Lineage: Bacteria; Pseudomonadati; Campylobacterota; Epsilonproteobacteria; Campylobacterales; Helicobacteraceae. The record is from RNAcentral.